AUGGUGCGAGAAGAGAAGGUGGUAGAAGAAAAGAUGAAGAAAAAAUUAGUUAAGAAGACUGGGGAUGUGGAGACCCGAAAACAGAAAGUGCUGCAGAUGGAGGAGGAUGAACACAAGCAGCAGGAGCUACUGCAGAAGAGGAGAGAGGAUGAACAGCUUGACAAAGGGAGGAAGAUUGUGGAACUGAAGAAACUGGCAGAGCAGCAACAGGUGGAACAGGCAAAGGAGAGGAGUCACAAACAGCAAGAGAAGGGGAAGGCCCUUCACUUGCAGAUGGAGCUGGCAGUGGUUACAGAGGAAGAGGAAAACCAAAAGAAGGUGGGGAGUUGAGACU
Molecule: long non-coding RNA, 334 nt
Filed under: Chelonoidis abingdonii (Abingdon island giant tortoise)
Lineage: Eukaryota; Metazoa; Chordata; Testudines; Testudinidae
Description: lncRNA (ENSCABG00000021976.1)
Source: RNAcentral